AUGUUUAAUAACUGCUCUAUUUGAGUCAGGAGAAAUGAAGUUUUUCUCAACCUUAGGCAGGUUUGUAGUCUCGCGUCCACCCAACUGAAUGUCUACGUACGCAUCUUCAAGGCAUUGAUUUAAACUCCUUCAUGAAUAUAGCGAGGUCAGAUAAGAGAAACACAUUGAUUGUCAAGGCUAAUUUAAUCUUCUUAUUUGUUCAAUAUUUGCACGGUAAUGUUGCUUCCGUCUGUCCCAACGGUAAAAGAGGAAAACUUCCAGUCAAAUGUAAAUACUGUGUAAUAUAGAUGCUGUUGAUAAUAGAAAUUGAUCAGUGCAGAGCGUGACCAAAAACGGGGCUAAAAGGUCAAAAUGUCCUCUGUCAUGGGUGAACAUGUAAUGACCCCAAAUUUUACACUCUGAAAGGAAAUAGAGUGAACACACAAACACACCCCCUGCAGGCCUGUAUUUCUCUACAUGAUGGUGCUUAUAAAUCUAUCAUCCCCUCUGCCACACGCACACACACACACACACACACACACACACAUAAUCAAAUUUGCUCCAGAGUUUCUGAAGGGUUCUCUGGCAAAAACCUUGUUUCUGAUUUGAGUUUGAAUUAUAGCUACAUGAGCAUUAUCGUAGAGCUCUGGGACGUAAAGCUGUUAGUGGGCGUAAAUGAAACGCCAGUGAAAUAAUGCUGUGUGUAUCGCACGAGAGGGCAUACGAUCUCUGAGUGCUUGUUUUUCCAUCUGCGGGGCUGCAGCCUUGAUGGACGAGGCGAUGGAGUCUGGGGAAUUUGCCACAAAUAAGCAGUGUUGGUACGAGGGUUGUGUGGCCAUCCUGCUAUGCUCAGAUCUCUGAGUCUUCACUGCGAUGCCUGACCUCUGCAGUCAAAGGGCAGCUCAAAAGAUGUUGGUAUUCUCACCACUCAGGAAGCCUCGUAGUGAGAAAAACCUCCUACUGCUUGCACUUGCAGGGACUCAUUAUGCACACACACACACACGCACACACACACGCACACUCACGACCCUAACCAGCAGCACAUGACCCCAACAACGCAAACUCUUUCAAGUCACACAACUCGAGCACACCUACGGACUCACCAAUACUUCAUCAUGACCACAGAUCUCCCGCUGCCAAUAAAAAAAAAUGAGGAAUGAGGACAGUUGGAUUGAGCUCCAAGCCACAGGGGGGAGUUUGGGUAAUAUUCAGACGGGUUUGCCUCAAGCAAUGAAAUCAAACAGAAACUCCCCGCAGAGUUAGACGUCUGUUAUUAAAGGCUGUUCUUCUGCGGUCAGGGUCAGCACAUACACCCCCCCGCCCCAUCCUUGGGACCAAAAACAAAAAUGAUGUAGGAUGCGGCAAAAAAAAACCCACCAGCCUAGACUCUCUGUGUGUGUGUGUGUGUGUGUGUGUGUGUGUGUGUGUGUGUGUGUGCUCAGCAGCCAACACAUUCGACAGUUGUAGCCUGUGAAAUAAGUUGCUGCCCUUGAACAAGGUGAAACGGUGUCGGCAUCUUUAUGUUUGAACUCGAUUGCCCUCCUUUUUAAAAGACUGGGAGCUGCCAUCACUUUUAUGAACGUAAGUAAUCAUAAAGAGUUAAACACCCAUUUCCUACAAACAAAAAAAAAAGAAUAUAACACAGGGUUUAUCGCAAUGCAACUGGGUCAACGCGCACAUGACCCGGCACUUGCUUAAGGUUUGUCCUUCCAUUGAUCAUCCUGGGCACACAGAAGAUAUCUUUUGCUCUCUGAACGACCUGAUGUGUUUCAUCAGGAAUUGCUGUGUGCAGUGU
Long non-coding RNA from Gasterosteus aculeatus aculeatus (three-spined stickleback), 1774 nucleotides. Lineage: Eukaryota; Metazoa; Chordata; Actinopteri; Perciformes; Gasterosteidae. The record is from Ensembl.